This 468-nucleotide ribosomal RNA is filed under the name uncultured bacterium. RNAcentral describes it as "partial 16S ribosomal RNA". It matches the Rfam family "Bacterial small subunit ribosomal RNA", at positions 28 to 507 of the family's 1533-position model. The record is from RNAcentral.
GACGAACGCUGGCGGCGUGCUUAACACAUGCAAGUCGAACGGAAAGGCCCUGCUUUUGUGGGGUGCUCGAGUGGCGAACGGGUGAGUAACACGUGAGUAACCUGCCCUUGACUUUGGGGUAACUUCAGGGAACUGGGGCUAAUACCGGAUAGGAGCUCCUGCUGCAUGGUGGGGGUUGGAGAGUUUCGGCGGUUGGGGCUGGACUCGCGGCUUAUCAGCUUGUUGGUGGGGUAGUGGCUUACCAAGGCUUUGACGGGUAGCCGGCCUGAGAGGGUGACCGGCCACAUUGGGACUGAGAGACGGCGCAGACGCCUAUGGGAGGCAGUAGUGGGGAAUAUUGCAGAAUGGGCGGAAGCCUGAUGUAGCAACGUCGCGUGCGGGAUGACGGCUUUCUGGUUGUAAACCGCUUUGGCCUGUGACGAAGCGUGAGUGACGGUAACGGGUAAAGAAGCACCGGCUAACUACGUG